GCCAGGGUAGCUCAGCAGGUAGAGCGGCGGUAUCGUAAACCGCAGGCAGUGGGUUCGAGUCCCACCCCUGGCU
Molecule: non-coding RNA, 73 nt
Organism: Candidatus Collierbacteria bacterium
Lineage: Bacteria; Candidatus Collieribacteriota
Source: Rfam